GGGGGGGGGGGGGGGGGGGGGUGGGACGGGCAGGUCGAGCGAAGAGGUGAGGGGCUUGCCCCUUUGACGUUGGCGGCGGGCGGGUGAGUAACACGGGGGUAACCUACCUAUAAGGCUGGAAUCACUCCGGGAAACCGGGGCUAAUGCCGGAUACCAUUUAGAACCGCAUGGUUCUAAACUGUAAGAUGGUUUUGCUAUCACUUCUAGAUGGACCCGAGCCGUAUUAUCUAGUUGGUAAGGUAACGGCGUACCAAGGCAACUAUACGUAGCCGACCUGAGAGGGUGAUCGGCCACACUGGAACUGAGACACGGUCCAGACUCCUACGGGAGGCAGCAGUAGGGAAUCUUCCGCAAUGGGCGAAAGCCUGACGGAGCAACGACGCGUGAGUGAUGAAGGUCUUCGGAUCGUAAAACUCUGUUAUUAGGGAAGAACAAAUGUGUAAGUAACUGUGCACGUCCUGACGGUACCUAAUCAGAAAGCCACGGCUAACUACGUG
This 497-nucleotide ribosomal RNA is filed under the name uncultured bacterium. Its description in RNAcentral is "partial 16S ribosomal RNA". It matches the Rfam family "Bacterial small subunit ribosomal RNA", at positions 27 to 507 of the family's 1533-position model. The record is from RNAcentral.